This is a non-coding RNA of Myotis brandtii (Brandt's bat), 74 nucleotides long. The record is from Rfam. Lineage: Eukaryota; Metazoa; Chordata; Mammalia; Chiroptera; Vespertilionidae.
GGCGGUUCUCAGGUGACACACCCGGAAUUGGGCUCCCUCCUCUUUGGUUCCAGGUGGAUCACCUGAGAACCGCA